This is a long non-coding RNA of Cydia pomonella (codling moth), 1170 nucleotides long. RefSeq lists it as uncharacterized. The transcript has 2 exons. Lineage: Eukaryota; Metazoa; Arthropoda; Insecta; Lepidoptera; Tortricidae. The record is from RefSeq and is a predicted model, not a curated record.
UCCUGAGAUAGAUGACUCCAUGGUCAAGCAGUCUCUAUUUCUACUCUAUGCACAGAACCAGGGUCUGCACACAAGAGUUAUGGAAGGUUCUCCAUACAAAAGUCUAAAAGAGUGGGGUGAUGGUGACCCUGUCUCUAGACGACGUGUCGGUGGAAAACCUUAAAAAAAGGACCUAAAGGCAAACCUAGGUUUCUGGGAGGUCGAGUUUCGGCUAAAGGGCUAACGUAAAACCCAACAGCCCGAAACGCAACCUACCCAAACCCCACCACCGCAGCCUGCAAACCCUGCCCCAUCUACCACCUUAACCCGAACACCCGCCCGAAAGGUGCCUUCAGGUCGAAAACGGGCGGCUCCCUUCCAAUCCUACUCCAGGAUCUUCGGGGUUGCAGCGGUUUCUCGCUAACAGGGGAGGCUACAGGGGCAUCAACCGCCCAAGAGGUAGAGGGAACGGAGGAGGCCACCAAGGGCACAACAGUGCCCACCGCCGUGGCAAAUAAAAAAGACGCUACCUGGGAUAGGGGGGUGGUGUUCCUCCAGGCCAAUCUCCACCACGCCAUAGAGACCAGCCACAGCGGUCGUCGAAAAGCUCUUUGGCGAAAAUGUCCUGGACAUCGCUCUCAUACAAGAACCAUGGACAAACACCAAAUCCAUGGCAGCAGGACUUAACAGAAUAGGAAAGGUACUAAUCUACGGAAAAGGUGCAAAACCGAUAGCCAGCAUCGUUUUUAACAAAAAUACUAACUUCUUGCCUGUUACAGAGAUAUGCAGUGAAGACACAGUAGCUGCCUAUGUCGAUCUCAAAGGGCGAGGAGCACUCAAGAUAAUAGUCUGCUCCGCCUACCUGCCCAGAGAGAAGCAAGAUCCCACAGAAGAACUGCCUAAAGUGCUAGAGUACGCUUAAGCACAAAAGGCAGAACUUAUUGUGAGAUGUGACGCCCACCACACCAACUGGGGGAGCACUGGAAUCCACAAAAGGGGGACUACCCUACGGGCUAAUUCAACGUCCACGCCUGCCCAUCUUUCGCUGCCCGGCACUAACGCCAGGUUGCCACUACGCCAGGAACGCCAGGACAGUAACGCCCAGCUACGCACCGAUCCAAGUGCCACCACCACAGUAGGACAACGACCCACGUGAUUUAAGCCCAAUAAACCACUGCUGUACAAUUUGUA